AUAAUGGGUCAGCGACUUAUAUUCUGUAGCAAGGUUAACCGAAUAGGGGAGCCGAAGGGAAACCGAGUCUUAACUGGGCGUUAAGUUGCAGGGUAUAGACCCGAAACCCGGUGAUCUAGCCAUGGGCAGGUUGAAGGUUGGGUAACACUAACUGGAGGACCGAACCGACUAAUGUUGAAAAAUUAGCGGAUGACUUGUGGCUGGGGGUGAAAGGCCAAUCAAACCGGGAGAUAGCUGGUUCUCCCCGAAAGCUAUUUAGGUAGCGCCUCGUGAAUUCAUCUCCGGGGGUAGAGCACUGUUUCGGCAAGGGGGUCAUCCCGACUUACCAACCCGAUGCAAACUGCGAAUACCGGAGAAUGUUAUCACGGGAGACACACGGCGGGUGCUAACGUCCGUCGUGAAGAGGGAAACAACCCAGACCGCCAGCUAAGGUCCCAAAGUCAUGGUUAAGUGGGAAACGAUGUGGGAAGGCCCAGACAGCCAGGAUGUUGGCUUAGAAGCAGCCAUCAUUUAAAGAAAGCGUAAUAGCUCACUGGUCGAGUCGGCCUGCGCGGAAGAUGUAACGGGGCUAAACCAUGCACCGAAGCUGCGGCAGCGACGCUGAUGCGUUGUUGGGUAGGGGAGCGUUCUGUAAGCCUGUGAAGGUGUGCUGUGAGGCAUGCUGGAGGUAUCAGAAGUGCGAAUGCUGACAUAAGUAACGAUAAAGCGGGUGAAAAGCCCGCUCGCCGGAAGACCAAGGGUUCCUGUCCAACGUUAAUCGGGGCAGGGUGAGUCGACCCCUAAGGCGAGGCCGAAAGGCGUAGUCGAUGGGAAACAGGUUAAUAUUCCUGUACUUGGUGUUACUGCGAAGGGGGGACGGAGAAGGCUAUGUUGGCCGGGCGACGGUUGUCCCGGUUUAAGCGUGUAGGCUGGUUUUCCAGGCAAAUCCGGAAAAUCAAGGCUGAGGCGUGAUGACGAGGCACUACGGUGCUGAAGCAACAAAUGCCCUGCUUCCAGGAAAAGCCUCUAAGCAUCAGGUAACAUCAAAUCGUACCCCAAACCGACACAGGUGGUCAGGUAGAGAAUACCAAGGCGCUUGAGAGAACUCGGGUGAAGGAACUAGGCAAAAUGGUGCCGUAACUUCGGGAGAAGG
This 1132-nucleotide ribosomal RNA is filed under the name Escherichia coli. RNAcentral describes it as "partial 23S ribosomal RNA". It matches the Rfam family "Bacterial large subunit ribosomal RNA", at positions 612 to 1746 of the family's 2925-position model. RNAcentral also lists the same sequence under 4 other names. Lineage: Bacteria; Pseudomonadati; Pseudomonadota; Gammaproteobacteria; Enterobacterales; Enterobacteriaceae. The record is from RNAcentral.